AUGACCCAAUUCAUGGCUUUGGAAGAACAAGAGAAAAUCAUGGUCCUGUGAAGGAAGGAGUCAUCAUUGGCGGCUCUAAGGCUCUUUGGCUUGUUUGGAUUAAUAGCCAGUGCCUGGCCCCCUGGGACUUCCUCCUUCUUCCAGCUCUUUAGUACACAACUCCCCACACACAUACCUGAGGGCAAAGUUUUUAGGAGAGUUUCUCCAUCCUCUGGCUAAGAGUGAUAUGCCAUAAAGAAUAGAUUCUAUAGCUCUGAAUCCUACAAAUCCCCCCCUUCUGACUCUUCCAACUCCUUAGGGAAUAUGCAAACCUCUAUAUUGGAGGCAAAUAUGAAUAGACUAUGCCUACAAUUCAGUGUAGGGCAAAGGUUUCCUGACACCAUAUUAAUAUCUGCCUGCUUUUAAGUUUUUAAAAUCUUCGGACUUGAAGAAGCAACUCCUGGAAAUCAGCUAAUCCAAUGUCCUCAGUUCUAGUUGAAAAUAAUCAGAUGAUUAUCGGACACCAUCUUCCUUGGAGCUUUGUUUCACUAGCGCACACCAUGUCAAUACUCUCAGCCAACAUCAGGAGACUCCAGUUGAGAACUACAUCUCUGAUUUUUUUUCAAGGAGCCCUCAAGGUUUGAAAUUUCGCUUUCUUCCUAAGGUAUUUAUACUUUUUCUCCAAAAUAUAACCUUCAGUUUUUCUCCUGAGUAAUACAUUAGCAGAUUCUUUGAGUUUCAGAAUGUCAGCCUCACCUCUACCUAAGUAUCCAGGUUUCCAAAAUGAAAAAUCUUGCUGGUUACUUGACUGCUAAACUGCCUUCUACCUGAGCAUGUUUUAUAAUGCAGAAACUGAGACUGCAGAUGAACAGAAAUAAGAUUUCUAUCCAUUUUCUUCCAAUUCUUUGGGCCUGAAUGUGUCCCUAUUACCCCGUGAAAUACAACUGAAGACUGAUUACUCUACAACUUUUUUUUUUUCUUUUAGGUAGACCUCCCAGCCUCAGCCUGGCCACAGCUAUCAUACCAACCGUUUAUUGCUGUUGUUAAUUUUUAUAGAUUUAUAAGUUCUUUUUAUUGUUCUGUUUCCUUAAGGGUAGAUACCACAUUUUUUUCCCCUCAUACUCAAAGUACCUAACACAGAGUAAUUUAGUCUAGAAACAUUUAUUGUGUAAAGUUAUUAACUUUUUCUUACUUCUUUAUAGAAUUUUAUCUUCUGGCCCUAAAGAACACCUGAAACGGUCUUCCUUGGCCUAACUGUACAUCCCCGUGCUAUGUGCGUAGAGUAAACCAACAGGAGAAGGCAGGACCUACUUUGCUUUUUGAAAACAAAUGUAAUGGAAGAACCUCCAGUCCCUCAGUCUGUCUUGUUUGCAGAAUCUUUAAAUAAAUAUUGUCUAUCCCAA
This is a long non-coding RNA of Choloepus didactylus (southern two-toed sloth), 1382 nucleotides long. RefSeq lists it as uncharacterized. The transcript has 2 exons. The record is from RefSeq and is a predicted model, not a curated record. NCBI's taxonomy places the organism in Eukaryota, Metazoa, Chordata, Mammalia, Pilosa, Megalonychidae.